ACCUAAAAUGCCAGGGACAUGACCUUUCUAUAUAUAUAAUCUUUUUGAAGAGGAUAGGUGUUUUGAUGGGAGGAAAUGGAGAUAGGUGGGGCCGGAUUGCAACAAAAACAUAAAGCCACAUCCCAUAAAGUGAUGCUAUGAAUGAUGUAUAAAAUAUAGGUGACACGUUCAGGUUUGGGGGGAUUAAAUAAGUCGGACUGGAAGUCGAGUAUAAACAAAAAGGAGGAAUAUGUGGAGAUUUCAUAUGAUGUAUUUUUUUAAGUAGAUGAGAAUGGAGUCAGUAGCG
This 286-nucleotide long non-coding RNA is filed under the name Elaeis guineensis (African oil palm). RNAcentral describes it as "long non-coding RNA (EGUI_LNC081350)". Lineage: Eukaryota; Viridiplantae; Streptophyta; Magnoliopsida; Arecales; Arecaceae. The record is from RNAcentral.